This 305-nucleotide ribosomal RNA is filed under the name uncultured bacterium. RNAcentral describes it as "bacterial SSU rRNA". It matches the Rfam family "Bacterial small subunit ribosomal RNA", at positions 335 to 639 of the family's 1533-position model. The record is from RNAcentral.
AUCCUACGGGGCGCAGCAGUGAGGAAUAUUGGUCAAUGGCCGAGAGGCUGAACCAGCCAAGUCGCGUGAGGGAAGACGGCCCUACGGGUUGUAAACCUCUUUUGUCGGGGAGCAAAGCGAGUCACGUGUGACUCAUUGAGAGUACCCGAAGAAAAAGCAUCGGCUAACUCCGUGCCAGCAGCCGCGGUAAUACGGAGGAUGCGAGCGUUAUCCGGAUUUAUUGGGUUUAAAGGGUGCGCAGGCGGCCUGUUAAGUCAGCGGUAAAAGCCCGGGGCUCACCCCCGGCGAGCCGUUGAAACUGGCGG